Molecule: ribosomal RNA, 488 nt
Filed under: uncultured bacterium
Lineage: Bacteria
Description: partial 16S ribosomal RNA
Rfam family: Bacterial small subunit ribosomal RNA
Source: RNAcentral
ACGAACGCUGGCGGCGUGCUUAACACAUGCAAGUCGCACGGUGAAGGGAUCAGCUUGCUGGUUCUGGAUGAGUGGCGAACGGGUGAGUAACACGUGAGUAACCUGCCCCCUUCUUCUGGAUAACCGCAUGAAAGUGUGGCUAAUACGGGAUAUUCUGCGCCUGCUGCAUGGUGGGUGUGGGAAAGAUAUUGUUUCGGUGGGGGAUGGGCUCGCGGCCUAUCAGCUUGUUGGUGGGGUGAUGGCCUACCAAGGCGGUGACGGGUAGCCGGCCUGAGAGGGUGGACGGUCACACUGGGACUGAGACACGGCCCAGACUCCUACGGGAGGCAGCAGUGGGGAAUAUUGCACAAUGGGCGCAAGCCUGAUGCAGCGACGCCGCGUGAGGGAUGGAGGCCUUCGGGUUGUGAACCUCUUUCGCCAGUGAAGCAGGCCUGUCCCUUGUGGGUGGGUUGACGGUAGCUGGAUAAGAAGCGCCGGCUAACUACGUG